RNAcentral lists this transfer RNA (55 nucleotides) under Lagria rufipennis. RNAcentral's name for it is "tRNA-Ser". Lineage: Eukaryota; Metazoa; Arthropoda; Insecta; Coleoptera; Tenebrionidae. The record is from RNAcentral.
GAAAUAAUUAACUCAAGUUUCUAACUUGAAAAAAAGCAUUAUAGUUUAUAUUUCU